This 70-nucleotide transfer RNA is filed under the name Salmonella enterica subsp. enterica serovar Paratyphi A. Its description in RNAcentral is "tRNA-OTHER". Lineage: Bacteria; Pseudomonadati; Pseudomonadota; Gammaproteobacteria; Enterobacterales; Enterobacteriaceae. The record is from RNAcentral.
GCGGGAAUAGCUCAGUUGGUAGAGCACGACCUUVVVGGGGUCGCGAGUUCGAGUCUCGUUUCCCGCUCCA